RNAcentral lists this Y RNA (102 nucleotides) under Microcebus murinus (gray mouse lemur). Its description in RNAcentral is "Y RNA (ENSMICG00000045162.1)". It matches the Rfam family "Y RNA". Rfam says of the family: Y RNAs are components of the Ro ribonucleoprotein particle (Ro RNP), in association with Ro60 and La proteins. The Y RNAs and Ro60 and La proteins are well conserved, but the function of the Ro RNP is not known. Lineage: Eukaryota; Metazoa; Chordata; Mammalia; Primates; Cheirogaleidae. The record is from Rfam by way of RNAcentral.
GGUUGGUCCGAGUACAGUGGUAUUUACAACUAAUUGAUCAAAACCAGUUACAGAUUCCUUUGUUCCUUCUCCACUCCCACUGCUUCACUUGACCAGCCUUUA